GAUGAACGCUGGCGGCGUGCCUAAUACAUGCAAGUCGAGCGAACAGACGAGGAGCUUGCUCCUCUGACGUUAGCGGCGGACGGGUGAGUAACACGUGGAUAACCUACCUAUAAGACUGGGAUAACUUCGGGAAACCGGAGCUAAUACCGGAUAAUAUAUUGAACCGCAUGGUUCAAUAGUGAAAGACGGUUUUGCUGUCACUUAUAGAUGGAUCUGCGCCGCAUUAGCUAGUUGGUAAGGUAACGGCUUACCAAGGCAACGAGGCGUAGCCGACCUGAGAGGGUGAUCGGCCACACUGGAGCUGGGACACGGACCAGACUCCUACGGGAGGCAGCAGUAGGGAAUCUGCCGCAAUGGGGGAAAGCCUGACGGAGCAGCGCCGCGUGAGUGAUGAAGGUCUUCGGAUCGUAAAACUCUGUUAUUAGGGAAGAACAAAUGUGUAAGUAGACAUGCACGUCUUGACGGUACCUAAUCAGAAAGCCACGGCUAACUACGUG
RNAcentral lists this ribosomal RNA (497 nucleotides) under uncultured bacterium. RNAcentral describes it as "partial 16S ribosomal RNA". It matches the Rfam family "Bacterial small subunit ribosomal RNA", at positions 28 to 507 of the family's 1533-position model. The record is from RNAcentral.